UACGAACUGUGCGAACGUUAUUCGGAAUCACUGGGCUUACAGGGCGCGUAGGCGGGCUCUUAAGUCAGGGGUGAAAGCCCAAGGCUCAACCUUGGAAUUGCCUUUGAUACUGAGGGCCUUGAGACCGGAAGAGGUCGGCGGAACUGCGAGUGUAGAGGUGAAAUUCGUAGAUAUUCGCAAGAACACCAGUGGCGAAGGCGGCCGACUGGUCCGGUUCUGACGCUGAGGCGCGAAAGCGUGGGGAGCAAACAGG
Molecule: ribosomal RNA, 253 nt
Filed under: uncultured bacterium
Lineage: Bacteria
Description: partial 16S ribosomal RNA
Rfam family: Bacterial small subunit ribosomal RNA
Source: RNAcentral